RNAcentral lists this ribosomal RNA (274 nucleotides) under uncultured bacterium. Its description in RNAcentral is "partial 16S ribosomal RNA". It matches the Rfam family "Bacterial small subunit ribosomal RNA", at positions 523 to 796 of the family's 1533-position model. The record is from RNAcentral.
AUACGAACGGUGCAAGCGUUGUUCGGAUUUACUGGGCGUAAAGAGAGUGUAGGUUGUUUAUUAAGUCGGAUGUGAAAUCCCGGGGCUCAACCUCGGAACUGCAUUCGAUACUGGUAGACUAGAGUUCGGGAGGGGUAAGCGGAAUUCCGUGUGUAGCAGUGAAAUGCGUAGAUAUACGGAGGAACACCUGAGGCGAAGGCGGCUUACUGGACCGAUACUGACACUGAGACUCGAAAGCGUGGGUAGCAAACAGGAUUAGAAACCCCGGUAGUCC